Molecule: long non-coding RNA, 217 nt
Filed under: Musa acuminata (dwarf banana)
Lineage: Eukaryota; Viridiplantae; Streptophyta; Magnoliopsida; Zingiberales; Musaceae
Description: long non-coding RNA (MACU_LNC007235)
Source: RNAcentral
CAAAUCGUUAUUGACGUGCUUAUUGUACUGGUUGCUCUUCCUCUUGGAUUUUUGAUUGACCUGAGCUAUAAUAGGUGGUCCGGGCAACCUAUCAUCACGCUUCAAGUACGUCUCAUAGUCGAUCAACUUAUCAUAAAGUUCUUCGAAUGAUAUUGGUGAGUCGCGUGCCCGAAGUGCUACUAUCAGUUCUUUGUACUCGCCUCCUAGGCCAUUGAGG